UAGCGGCAGGCUUAACACAUGCAAGUCGAGGGGUAUAGUUCUUCGGAACUAGAGACCGGCGCACGGGUGCGUAACGCGUAUGCAAUCUACCUUUCACAAAGGGAUAGCCCAGAGAAAUUUGGAUUAAUACCUCAUAGUAUGUGAGGAUGGCAUCAUUUUCACAUUAAAGUCACAACGGCAAAAGAUGAGCAUGCGUCCCAUUAGCUAGUUGGUAAGGUAACGGCUUACCAAGGCUACGAUGGGUAGGGGUCCUGAGAGGGAGAUCCCCCACACUGGUACUGAGACACGGACCAGACUCCUACGGGAGGCAGCAGUGAGGAAUAUUGGACAAUGGGCGCAAGCCUGAUCCAGCCAUGCCGCGUGCAGGAUGACGGUCCUAUGGAUUGUAAACUGCUUUUGUACAGGAAGAAACACUACUUCGUGAAGUAGCUUGACGGUACUGUAAGAAUAAGGAUCGGCUAACUCCGUG
Molecule: ribosomal RNA, 469 nt
Filed under: uncultured bacterium
Lineage: Bacteria
Description: bacterial SSU rRNA
Rfam family: Bacterial small subunit ribosomal RNA
Source: RNAcentral